RNAcentral lists this ribosomal RNA (229 nucleotides) under uncultured bacterium. Its description in RNAcentral is "partial 16S ribosomal RNA". It matches the Rfam family "Bacterial small subunit ribosomal RNA", at positions 103 to 334 of the family's 1533-position model. The record is from RNAcentral.
CGGGUGGGUAAUACAUCGGAACGUGGUCUUCUAUGGGGGAUAACUGCCCGAAAGGGCAGCUAAUACCGCAUGAGACCUGAGGGUGAAAGCGGGGGAGUCGCAAGACCUCGCGCUGGAAGAGCGGCCGAUGCCCGAUUAGCUAGUUGGUGAGGUAAAGGCUCACCAAGGCGACGAUCGGUAGCUGGUCUGAGAGGACGACCAGCCACACUGGGACUGAGACACGGCCCAG